Molecule: ribosomal RNA, 492 nt
Filed under: uncultured bacterium
Lineage: Bacteria
Description: partial 16S ribosomal RNA
Rfam family: Bacterial small subunit ribosomal RNA
Source: RNAcentral
AGUGAACGCUGGCGGUAGGCCUAACACAUGCAAGUCGAACGGCAGCACAGUAAGAGCUUGCUCUUACGGGUGGCGAGUGGCGGACGGGUGAGGAAUACAUCGGAAUCUACUUUUUCGUGGGGGAUAACGUAGGGAAACUUACGCUAAUACCGCAUACGACCUACGGGUGAGAGCAGGGGAUCUUCGGACCUUGCGCGAUUGAAUGAGCCGAUGUCGGAUUAGCUAGUUGGCGGGGUAAAGGCCCACCAAGGCGACGAUCCGUAGCUGGUCUGAGAGGAUGAUCAGCCACACUGGAACUGAGACACGGUCCAGACUCCUACGGGAGGCAGCAAUGGGGAAUAUUGGACAAUGGGCGCAAGCCUGAUCCAGCCAUACCGCGUGGGUGAAGAAGGCCUUCGGGUUGUAAAGCCCUUUUGUUGGGAAAGAAAAGCAGCAGGUUAAUACCCCGCUGUUCUGACAGUACCCAAAGAAUAAGCACCGGCUAACUUCGUG